GACAAUCUAAACUCAGCCAAUAUCUUUGAACAUUUCAAGUUAUCCCACAAUAUGACUUCAUUACUUCCAUUUCUGUUUUUUCUGAUUGUGUUGGGUUCGGCAACAACAUAUGUGAAUGGGCAGCAGGUGGGAUUCGGUCAAUGUUUGGAUAAUUGUCGAAAUCCAUUCGUGACCUGUAUUUUUGUGACUUGCCAAGCUUUCAACUUCAAUUGUAUUGAAGAGCAGUGUGUAAAUGACCUCAAAUCAUGUGUUACUCUUUGCAAGUAACUAUUUCGUCAUUAGGAAUUACAUGUAACUGUUAAUCUGUGUUGUUUGCUGUAUCACUUUUGCAUCAUGCUUGUUAUCAUACUAUGAAUAAUAAAAGAACAGUUACUUUAUAAAAUGUCCAAUUAUAUCUAAUACGUUGUGAGGG
RNAcentral lists this long non-coding RNA (412 nucleotides) under Zostera marina. RNAcentral's name for it is "long non-coding RNA (ZMAR_LNC000089)". Lineage: Eukaryota; Viridiplantae; Streptophyta; Magnoliopsida; Alismatales; Zosteraceae. The record is from RNAcentral.